CGGGUACUGCCCGGCGCGUUAGGUCCAUCAUGCCCCUGGGCCAAUGUCCGAUGUGAUGGGAGCUGUCCCUGCCGCGACCCUGGUCACGGCAAUACGGCGCCCACCUGCAACAGCAGGCCACAGCGGAGCAUCCGAUGCCGACGGCCACGGCGGUCCCGUU
RNAcentral lists this non-coding RNA (160 nucleotides) under Alphaproteobacteria bacterium. Its description in RNAcentral is "6S RNA". It matches the Rfam family "6S / SsrS RNA". From Rfam's summary of the family: E. coli 6S RNA was the first non coding RNA to be sequenced, but its function was unknown until recently. It consists of 184 nucleotides that fold into an extended hairpin structure with a large single-stranded internal bulge. The record is from RNAcentral. Lineage: Bacteria; Pseudomonadati; Pseudomonadota; Alphaproteobacteria.